RNAcentral lists this transfer RNA (71 nucleotides) under Anourosorex squamipes (mole shrew). Its description in RNAcentral is "tRNA-Gly". Lineage: Eukaryota; Metazoa; Chordata; Mammalia; Eulipotyphla; Soricidae. The record is from RNAcentral.
AUUCUUUUAGUAUUUAUUAGUACUGCUGACUUCCAAUCAGCCAGACCCAGUAAUAAGCCUGGGAAAGAAUA